This 526-nucleotide long non-coding RNA is filed under the name Prunus persica (peach). RNAcentral describes it as "long non-coding RNA (PPER_LNC007327)". Lineage: Eukaryota; Viridiplantae; Streptophyta; Magnoliopsida; Rosales; Rosaceae. The record is from RNAcentral.
GGUAGUUGUGUUCCAUAAAAAUAGGAUCCAUUAUCUGCUUUUUCUUUUUCUUUUAAUUUUUUUAAAUAUGAAAAAGUGUGAAUUUAUCAUAUUAUCCUCAUUUAAUUAAUAAUUUGAAUUCUUAAUGUUUGCAUUAACCAAGGGCAUUUUCUGGUAUUUUGAAUGUUUCACAAUUCUCUGCCUUUUGCUUUAUAUAUAUAGAUAUAUAUUUUGGGUCGGGUUCGGGGAUGGGGACGCCAAUACCAUUCUCUUCCCAUACUCGUCAAAGAUUUUUCAAGUUCAGGGAUCCCCAUACCCGAUACUUGUUUGACCCUAAAAUCUCCUACCGUUAGGGUCAGGGAACCAAAGAGGACCCGCCUCUGCUGAGAUUUUUGUCAUCCCUGUACGUGGGUGCCUAGGACCUAUCCGGCUGCUUUGUUUUUGUUUUUAUUUUGUUUUUAAAAAUUUAUAGUAAAGAGUAUAUCUGUGUGGCUAUAAUUGAUUUUUUAAAUAUUUUUUUUAAAAAUAAUAUAGCCGGACGACUUUA